AUUCCAGCUCCGAUAGCGUAUAUUAAAUUUGUUGCGGGUAAAAAGUGCGUAGUUGGAUUGUCCUUUCUCUUAUGAUGUUAGUGGGUUGCCUUCGCGGUGGCUCGCAGCUCGUGAGGGAAGUGGUAACAUCUYDUCUCGGUMCGGUGCCUUUCGCGAGGUGCCGCRCYAAVUCAAGAAUUUUUACCUUGACAAAAUCAGAGUGCUCAAAGCGGGCUCCCCUCGCAAGAGGAGAUGCUCUACUGUUCUCGCAUGGAAUAAUGGAACAAGGCUUCGUGCCGCGUUCAGUUGGUCUCACGGCUUGUGAAGCAAUGAUUAAAAGG
Molecule: ribosomal RNA, 320 nt
Filed under: Neonanorchestes sp. Neo_01
Lineage: Eukaryota; Metazoa; Arthropoda; Arachnida; Sarcoptiformes; Nanorchestidae
Description: bacterial SSU rRNA
Rfam family: Eukaryotic small subunit ribosomal RNA
Source: RNAcentral